GAUGAACGCUGGCGGCGUGCCUAAUACAUGCAAGUCGAGCGAACAGACGAGGAGCUUGCUCCUCUGACGUUAGCGGCGGACGGGUGAGUAACACGUGGAUAACCUACCUAUAAGACUGGGAUAACUUCAGGAAACCGGAGCUAAUACCGGAUAACAUGUUGAACCGCAUGGUUCAACAGUGAAAGACGGUUUUGCUGUCACUUAUAGAUGGAUCCGCGUCGCAUUAGCUAGUUGGUAAGGUAACGGCUUACCAAGGCAACGAUGCGUAGCCGACCUGAGAGGGUGAUCGGCCACACUGGAACUGAGACACGGUCCAGACUCCUACGGGAGGCAGCAGUAGGGAAUCUUCCGCAAUGGGCGAAAGCCUGACGGAGCAACGCCGCGUGAGUGAAGAAGGUCUUCGGAUCGUAAAACUCUGUUAUUAGGGAAGAACAAAUGUGUAAGUAACUAUGCACGUCUUGACGGUACCUAAUCAGAAAGCCACGGCUAACUACGUG
Molecule: ribosomal RNA, 497 nt
Filed under: uncultured bacterium
Lineage: Bacteria
Description: partial 16S ribosomal RNA
Rfam family: Bacterial small subunit ribosomal RNA
Source: RNAcentral